AAUUGCUCCUCUGUCUCUCUCUGGGCCAGGAUGAGAAGAACCAAAUGAUGACCACCAACGUCUGGCUAAAACAGGAGUGGAGCGACUACAAACUGCGCUGGAACCCCGCUGAUUUUGGCAACAUCACAUCUCUCAGGGUCCCUUCUGAGAUGAUCUGGAUCCCUGACAUUGUUCUCUACAACAAAUGGGGAGUUUGCAGUGACCCACAUGACCAAGGCCCACCUCUUCUCCACGGGCACUGUGCACUGGGUGCCCCCGGCCAUCUACAAGAGCUCCUGCAGUAUCGACGUCACCUUCUUCCCCUUCGACCAGCAGAACUGCAAGAUGAAGUUUGGCUCCUGGACUUAUGACAAGGCCAAGAUCGACCUGGAGCAGAUGGAGCAGACUGUGGACCUGAAGGACUACUGGGAGAGCGGCGAGUGGGCCAUCGUCAAUGCCACGGGCACCUACAACAGCAAGAAGUACGACUGCUGCGCCGAGAUCUACCCCGACGUCACCUACGCCUUCAUCAUCCGGCGGCUGCCGCUCUUCUACACCAUCAACCU
RNAcentral lists this small RNA (545 nucleotides) under Pan troglodytes (chimpanzee). RNAcentral describes it as "retained intron". The record is from RNAcentral. Lineage: Eukaryota; Metazoa; Chordata; Mammalia; Primates; Hominidae.